This 1251-nucleotide ribosomal RNA is filed under the name Staphylococcus saprophyticus. RNAcentral describes it as "bacterial SSU rRNA". It matches the Rfam family "Bacterial small subunit ribosomal RNA", at positions 225 to 1452 of the family's 1533-position model. Lineage: Bacteria; Bacillati; Bacillota; Bacilli; Caryophanales; Staphylococcaceae. The record is from RNAcentral.
AUGGACCCGCGUGUGCAUAACGGUAGUUGGUGAGGUAACGGCUCACCAAGGCCACAAUGCAUGACCGACCUGAUGGGGUGAUCGGCCACACUGGGACUGAGACACGGGCCACACUCCUACGGGAGGCAGCAUGGGGGAAUCUUCGGCAAUGGACGAAAGUCUGACCGAGCAAAGGCCGCGUGGUUGAAGAAGGUUUUCGGAUCGUAAAAUUCUGUUGUUAGAGAAGAACAAGGACGUUAGUAACUGAACGUCCCCUGACGGUAUCUAACCAGAAAGCCACGGCUAACUACGUGCCAGCAGCCGCGGUAAUACGUAGGUGGCAAGCGUUGUCCGGAUUUAUUGGGGCGUAAAGCGAGCGCACAGCGGUUUCUUAAGUCUGGAUGUGAAAGCCCCCCGGGCUCAACCGGGGAGGGUCAUUGGAAACUGGGAGAGCUUGAGUGCAGAAGAAUGAGAGUGGAAUUUCCAUGUGUAGCGGUGAAAUGCGUAGAUAUAUGGGAGGAACACCCGUGGCGAAAGCGGCUCUCUGGUCUGUAACUGACGCUGAGGCUCGAAAGCGUGGGGAGCAAACAGGACUAGAUACCCUGGUAGUCCACGCCGUAAACGAUGACUGCUAGUGUUUGAAGGGUUUCCGCCCUUCAGUGCUGCAGCAAACGCAGUAAGGCAGCUCCGCCUGGGGAGUACGACCGGCAAUGUUGAAACUUCAAGGAAUUGACGGGGGGCCCGCACAAGCGGUCGAGCAUGUGGUUUAAUCCGAACUAACGCGUAGAACCUUACCCAGGCUUGACAUUCCUUUGACCACUCUACAGAUAGAGCUUUCCCUUCGGGGACAUGAGACCAGGUGGUGCAUGGUUGUCGUCAGCUCGUGUCGUGAGAUGUGGGGUAAAUUCCCGCAACAGGGCCAACCCUUUCGGUUGGUUGCCAUCAUUUAUUGGGCACUCUAAUGCCACUGGCCGUGGCAAACCGGGGGAAGGUGGGGAUGAGGUCAAAUCAGCAUGCCCCUUAUGGCCCGCACUACCCCCCUGGUACAAUGGGAAGUACAAAGAGUAAGUAGCCCGGGAGGUCCAACAAAUCUUUUAAAGCUUCUUUCAGUUCGGAUUGCAGGUUGCAACUUGCAUUCAUGAAGCUGGAAUCGCUAGUAAUCGCGGAUCAGCACGCCCCGGUGAAUACGUUUCCGGGCCUUUACACACCCCCCGUCACACCACGAGAAUUUGUAACCCCAGAAGUCGGGGAGGUAACCUGGACGCGCAGGUG